This 432-nucleotide unclassified non-coding RNA is filed under the name Hevea brasiliensis (rubber tree). Lineage: Eukaryota; Viridiplantae; Streptophyta; Magnoliopsida; Malpighiales; Euphorbiaceae. The record is from RNAcentral.
AUUAACUAGUUUAGCCAAGGUAAAAAUUACACAACUUGAGUUCGGGACUACCUUUGUAAAUUCUACUAUCUGAAACGCAUUUAGAAUGUCUGAAAAUACUAGAAAUGACUGUAAACAUGAUGACCUUCCUGGUCGGCCCACUGAUCAUCUAAACUAGGCUGAAAACUCAUUCUCAAAAGUCUGGGAGUUACUACCGAUCCAAUCACACCAAACUAUCUAGAUCGUCCGAUGAUCGCCUUUUCUAAAUAGUGUCUGAUUGAAGCAAAGUCAGUCCCAUCUCAAAGGUUUCAUCGCGCUGAUCUCAACGGUGAUCUAGGAUCCCUGAUCCGAUGGUCGGAUUGCUAAAAAAAUAGUCAAAAAGCUGCUGCCACCUAUUUUCUCUUUCCUCUCUCUUUCUCUCAUCAGAUCGUUUUCCUCCGACAUCGAUUCCAG